AUGUGGCUACCUGUGAAGCGCACCAAAGGCAUGGUGGAAGACCAUGGUGUCCUCAAAUGUGCCACAGGGGUCCUGGUUCUGGUGGGAACUGGGUGGAUGCACCAGCAAGAACCUCGUGGCUGGAUCAGCCUCCGCCUGGGAGAAAAGGACAGGAAGGGCCAUGGAGGUGUUGGAGAAAUCUGGCUACUGCUGCGUGCAGCAAACUGUUGCCUGCUUGGAGACGGCCGAGGGGAGAACCUGCACAGACACAGAAGAAGAUGUUCCCUCUCCUUGUGUUUUGUUAAAAAAAGAAAACAGCUGGGGGAUCUUCCCUGCUUAUGCUUGGCUGAGCAUGGCCAUUCCCAGGAGCCUCUGGAGCUGCGUCUCGGAGGACAGACGGCGGUGAUUAAGAAUGAAACCAUUCUGCCAGGGCUGAGAAAGAAAGGUAGAAAAGACGCCCUCCUGGGACCUGCAACUUGUAGUUACCCUGGGAAAAAAGUAGUGCAAGAUUGUUAGUCUGAGGGACAGAUGAAAAUGUGAUUGCUUUAGACUGAGGCUGAGGAGAGAAAGCCACCUCUGUCUGGAAGAACCACGGAGCCUGUUUGCCUCUACCUUGCCCUCUCUGUUUAAAUACCUGAUCCUCAUAAGGAACCACAUUUUGAUUCACUGCAGAUCAUAAAAUGGUUGGGUAUGAUCAAAGCCAGACUUCCAACCAGGCCUCAGCCUUCCUCCACAUUCUCAUGGUCCUGGACUAUGGACUGCUGCUGGACAAAAGUGGGAAGCAGAAUGGAGAUCCAAAAGGGAAAAGAGACAGAGAGGGGGAACUACAAUUCUGCAAAAGAGUGGAGAAGGAAUCCCAAAAGAAUAGGAGCAUUAACUACUUGAUUUGGUCUUUUAGCAUUCAUCUAUCUUUGCUGUCUGAAUCUUUGCUUUCCUUCGAUCUAUCGCCCUUUCUCACCCAUCCACNCACCCUCCUCUUUUUCUUUCAUUUUUGUCCAGGUGCAGAAAAGGUCAAGGGAAAGAGUAAAGCAACCUCUUUAUGAGAAAAGGUUAUAGCUUUUGUGACUUUCUGGCUCAGAAAAAGACAAGCUAGAGAGAAAGGGAUAGGGUAGAGAUGUGUAAAAGUCAUGCACCAUACUGGGGUACAGCCUCUUGCAAUAUCCUAAGCUGAAUGCAGGAAGAUGGCUUGUCCACAGUGACCCAGGCUCUGAUAAAGUCUGGACCAGGUAUUUGCAAAGUGCUGCAUUUGGAGCCACCCUUGGAGAUGGUGCAGAAGCNGCUGCCAAUGUAGAUUGCAGCAGCAAGGCUGCCCACAGAUGCUGCUGUCUGAACGCACAUCAUGCCAGUCUUAAAGGAACUUCACUGAUUGCCAAUCUUCCGGCAUGCUCACUUCAAGGUCUUACCACUGACUUAUAAAGCCGUACACAACUUGUGUCCCCCUACCCGUCAGUUAAGAUCCAUGUGAAAAGGCAUUUUGGGUGUACAUAAAAGGUUACAGCAUAUUUUGAAAAACUGCUUUUCAAAUGCGCCCACAAUGCUAUUUACUGGGGAGGAUAACGGAUAAUAGAUUGACGUUCUUUAACGAUAUUGCAAAGGACGCCUGUAUAUGAUGAAGGAGGGCAAACAGGGAAGAAGAGCUUGCACUAUAGGCAGGAGGUGAUCCUGGGAUCUUAUAUCUACCUGCCAGCUCCUUUCAUUACCAUUGCAAAUACCUGGAACCAGCCAAGCACCCGCCCACUUCCCUAUUGCAUUUCCACCCCACCAAGGAUCAUGGCAAGUAACUUUGCAGACCUUUUAUGCACUCCCAUCAAAUAUUUUUCAACCUAAUUACAAGACCACCAUAAAUGAAAAAAGGUGCCAUUAUAUUUCCAGGCAACAGCACUUAGUUUCUAUCNACACUUCCCUCCUUAUUCUUCUUUUUAAACCAGGUCUCAGGCGCUCCUAAGAAUUACUGCAUUGAAACGGCUCUUUAAAAUGUCAGCAGGUCUCACAGCUUUCAUAUGAAAUUCUGGAUGCGUUACUGAAGAAGGUAAAAGCCAAGAUCCUGUAUUGAAUAAAAUGAUUUUAAAUGUGUUUUUCUGUUGUAUC
This is a long non-coding RNA of Salvator merianae (Argentine black and white tegu), 2067 nucleotides long. NCBI's taxonomy places the organism in Eukaryota, Metazoa, Chordata, Lepidosauria, Squamata, Teiidae. The record is from Ensembl.